GUAUUUUGACCGUGCAAAGGUAGCGCAAUCACUUGUCUUUUAAAUGAAGACCUGUAUGAAUGGUGGAACGAGGGCUUAACUGUCUCCCCCUUCUAGUCAAUGAAAUUGAUUUACCCGUGCAGAAGCGGGUAUAACAAUACAAGACGAGAAGACCCUUUGGAGCUUAAGAUAAAAAACCAACUAUGUCAAAAGUCCUAAAAAAGACUAAACCAAAUAGUACUGGUCCUAAUCUUCGGUUGGGGUGACCACGGGAGAAAACAAAGCUCCCAUGCGGAUUGGGGUAAUUCCCUAAAACUAAGAGAGACAUCUCUAAGACGCAGAACAUCUGACCAUAAAGAUCCGGCUACAUGCCGACCAACGGACCAAGUUACCCUAGGGAUAACAGCGCAAUCCCCUUCCAGAGUCCAUAUCGACAAGGGGGUUUACGACCUCGAUGUUGGAUCAGGACAUCCU
Molecule: ribosomal RNA, 453 nt
Filed under: Hypostomus derbyi
Lineage: Eukaryota; Metazoa; Chordata; Actinopteri; Siluriformes; Loricariidae
Description: partial 16S ribosomal RNA
Rfam family: Bacterial large subunit ribosomal RNA
Source: RNAcentral